This 566-nucleotide ribosomal RNA is filed under the name uncultured archaeon. RNAcentral's name for it is "bacterial SSU rRNA". It matches the Rfam family "Archaeal small subunit ribosomal RNA", at positions 311 to 879 of the family's 1478-position model. The record is from RNAcentral.
CGCGAAUUCGCCCUUCGGGGUGCAGCAGGCGCGAAACCUCUGCAAUAGGCGAAAGCCUGACAGGGUUACUCUGAGUGAUUUCCGUUAAGGAGAUCUUUUGGCACCUCUAAAAAUGGUGCAGAAUAAGGGGUGGGCAAGUCUGGUGUCAGCCGCCGCGGUAAUACCAGCACCCCGAGUGGUCGGGACGUUUAUUGGGCCUAAAGCAUCCGUAGCCGGUUCUACAAGUCUUCCGUUAAAUCCACCUGCUUAACAGAUGGGCUGCGGAAGAUACUAUAGAGCUAGGAGGCGGGAGAGGCAAGCGGUACUCGAUGGGUAGGGGUAAAAUCCGUUGAUCCAUUGAAGACCACCAGUGGCGAAGGCGGCUUGCCAGAACGCGCUCGACGGUGAGGGAUGAAAGCUGGGGGAGCAAACCGGAUUAGAUACCCGGGUAGUCCCAGCUGUAAACGAUGCAGACUCGGUGAUGAGUUGGCUUUAUGCCAACUCAGUGCCGCAGGGAAGCCGUUAAGUUUGCCGCCUGGGGAGUAUGGUCGCAAGACUGAAACUUAAAGGAAUUGGCGGGGGAGCAC